Molecule: transfer RNA, 86 nt
Filed under: Leiomela bartramioides
Lineage: Eukaryota; Viridiplantae; Streptophyta; Bryopsida; Bartramiales; Bartramiaceae
Description: transfer RNA Leu
Rfam family: tRNA
About the family: Transfer RNA (tRNA) molecules are approximately 80 nucleotides in length. Their secondary structure includes four short double-helical elements and three loops (D, anti-codon, and T loops).
Source: RNAcentral
GGGGGUAUGGCGGAAUUGGUAGACGCUACGGACUUAAAAUCCGUUGGCUUUAUUGACCAUGAGGGUUCAAGUCCCUCUAUCCCCAC